AUGUUUCCCUAGUCUGCCUCCUACUCUUUAAGCCACUUUGGUCUGACUUCCUAACACUUUUAUAAAGUUUUAAGUGUGCCUUAAUGUGCUAAAGAAACCAUGAGAAAUAUUGGCAAACUUUUUUGACCCAGGUCUGGAGAAAGAUGGACAAACAUUGAAUAUCCUUUGCAGCUGCCUAUAUGCUAUGCUUGAAAAACCUGCAAACAUGAGGAAUACUUUGACAUUUAGACUUCUGAUAAUGAAUAAAAAAACAUAUGCACUUUAGCUACUAAAAAAAACUUUUAAACUCAAACCAUGAUACUGCUAGCUGCAAGCUAAAGGCUAGCUUUGGGCUUUAAGGUAGCAACAUAAAAUUGACAGAAACCUUUCCCCCAAACUGAGAGACUGGUUUCUAUUGUAAAUGUGUAACAUCAAUAUGUAGCACGUUUUGGAAUUGCUACAUUAAACAUGCAGUGGGUCUGAAGCUGUUAAAGUCAUAUUAACCAAGCAACUUCAUCAUCGUAACCCCACACAACUCCACCUGAAAUACAUCUGAUAAUACAAUCCAAAAAAAAAAAAUGUCUUCUGAAGAUUUCUAAGUGUCAACAGCCCUUUUAACAUAAAUAAAGUCAAUUUGUAGUGAGAGACAUUUGAUUUUUGUUUAAUAUAGAUCACACUGGUGCUGGCCAAAAAUGACACUUUCUUUCCACGCUUACUUCCAAAGCGGCAUUAUAAAACGUGAGGUACAACCAGUGAGUCCAUUGGAGAAUUUGAUGAUAAGUUGGGGGCAAAGGUCAUCUGACCUAGAGCAUCUACUGUAGCUUGUUGUGCCUGGAAUGGUGUGAUAACAAGAAUUGCACAGCAAGCUAAAAAUAAAAGUCACUUUGAGGUGGAGAGGAAUUGUUACUCUGGGGUCCUCUCGGUUUCAUUUGCAUUAUACUUGACUCCAUAGCCUUUUCCCUCCAGUAAAGUAGUCAAAAAGCUUAUCCUUUAGUCUCGGAUCAUAAAAAUUGACAACAAGCCGAUAAGUACGGAAGCUCUGAGAGGCAAGUGAAAAAAAACAACUGUUUUCACAAUUUAAAUAAAAAAAAAAACUUUUUCCCCCACCUUUUUUACAGAAGAAGAAAAAAAGAAAUCAAGGAAAUUAUAAAGAUUAUCCUGGCGAAACCUUUUUUUUCACCUGUUCUUAAGUCAUGAACAGGAGAGACAACAAUUUAGAUCAGACUUAGAAAACAGAUCACCAGAAAAAAAAAUUCUCACUUGCCACUCAGGGCUUCCAUAGAAUUUGACUUCUUUAAAAGCAUUUUGA
Sebastes umbrosus (honeycomb rockfish) is the source of this 1288-nucleotide long non-coding RNA. RefSeq lists it as uncharacterized. The record is from RefSeq and is a predicted model, not a curated record. NCBI's taxonomy places the organism in Eukaryota, Metazoa, Chordata, Actinopteri, Perciformes, Sebastidae. The transcript has 3 exons.